This 621-nucleotide long non-coding RNA is filed under the name Mytilus galloprovincialis (Mediterranean mussel). Lineage: Eukaryota; Metazoa; Mollusca; Bivalvia; Mytilida; Mytilidae. The record is from RNAcentral.
GUCUGGAUUGAAGGAAAUUGCAAAGAAAACAUUGACCGGUAUAAAUAGUAGUGACAACACUGUUUAACCCAAGAUAAAGUGAUCAACAGAUUAAAGACCAUCAAAGGUGUUAAUUAGGCCAUAAACAUGUCACCUAAAAAAAAACAGUAACAUAAACAAAUGCUAUAAACGUAUCUUGAAUUGUCAAAUAAUUUUAAUCAAAAUCAAGCCCAGCAUGAAAUAAUUAUUUCCCAUAUGUACUAGAACUAUGAGGAUAUAAAAUGAACUCCUUAUCAUACUAGCAUAUCAAUACUGGAAAUCUGACAUUCAUCGAUCAAAAAUAUUUUUUAUGAGAAUUAAAAGAUCAAAAGUUGUACAGUUUAGGUUAUUAAAGAUUACAUGGGUAUAACCCUGCAUGCAGUUGUAGUUCUGUGACUGCUAUUAAAGUAUUCUCAGAUUUAACGUUGUUUAAUAUAUUCUCUAGAUUAUAUCAGUAGUCAAAACCUACAUGGGGAUCUUUCCAUGUCUUGAUUUGGACAAUGGUUGUUUUAUUUCGUUGGACACUUAAAUUCGUGGAUAAAGUCACCCACGAAAGCCACGAAUAUUGGUACCCCACGAAUAAAAGUACUUUCACAGUAUUUU